UACAGGCUUAACACAUGCAAGUCGAGGGGCAUCAGGAAGAAAGCUUGCUUUCUUUGCUGGCGACCGGCGCACGGGUGAGUAACACGUAUCCAACCUGCCCUUUACUCGGGGAUAGCCUUUCGAAAGAAAGAUUAAUACCCGAUGGCAUAAUGAUUCCGCAUGGUUUCAUUAUUAAAGGAUUCCGGUAAAGGAUGGGGAUGCGUUCCAUUAGGUUGUUGGUGAGGUAACGGCUCACCAAGCCUUCGAUGGAUAGGGGUUCUGAGAGGAAGGUCCCCCACAUUGGAACUGAGACACGGUCCAAACUCCUACGGGAGGCAGCAGUGAGGAAUAUUGGUCAAUGGGCGCUAGCCUGAACCAGCCAAGUAGCGUGAAGGAUGAAGGCUCUAUGGGUCGUAAACUUCUUUUAUAUAAGAAUAAAGUGCAGUAUGUAUACUGUUUUGUAUGUAUUAUAUGAAUAAGGAUCGGCUAACUCCGUGCCAGCAGCCGCGGUAAUACGGAGGAUCCGAGCGUUAUCCGGAUUUAUUGGGUUUAAAGGGAGCGUAGGUGGACUGGUAAGUCAGUUGUGAAAGUUUGCGGCUCAACCGUAAAAUUGCAGUUGAUACUGUCAGUCUUGAGUACAGUAGAGGUGGGCGGAAUUCGUGGUGUAGCGGUGAAAUGCUUAGAUAUCACGAAGAACUCCGAUUGCGAAGGCAGCUCACUGGACUGCAACUGACACUGAUGCUCGAAAGUGUGGGUAUCAAACAGGAUUAGAUACCCUGGUAGUCCACACAGUAAACGAUGAAUACUCGCUGUUUGCGAUAUACAGUAAGCGGCCAAGCGAAAGCAUUAAGUAUUCCACCUGGGGAGUACGCCGGCAACGGUGAAACUCAAAGGAAUUGACGGGGGCCCGCACAAGCGGAGGAACAUGUGGUUUAAUUCGAUGAUACGCGAGGAACCUUACCCGGGCUUAAAUUGCAGUGGAAUGAUGUGGAAACAUGUCAGUGAGCAAUCACCGCUGUGAAGGUGCUGCAUGGUUGUCGUCAGCUCGUGCCGUGAGGUGUCGGCUUAAGUGCCAUAACGAGCGCAACCCUUAUCUUUAGUUACUAACAGGUUAUGCUGAGGACUCUAGAGAGACUGCCGUCGUAAGAUGUGAGGAAGGUGGGGAUGACGUCAAAUCAGCACGGCCCUUACGUCCGGGGCUACACACGUGUUACAAUGGGGGGGUACAGAAGGCAGCUAGCGGGUGACCGUAUGCUAAUCCCAAAAUCCUCUCUCAGUUCGGAUCGAAGUCUGCAACCCGACUUCGUGAAGCUGGAUUCGCUAGUAAUCGCGCAUCAGCCACGGCGCGGUGAAUACGUUCCCGGGCCUUGUACACACCGCCCGUCAAGCCAUGGGAGCCGGGGGUACCUGAAGUACGUAACCGCAAGGAUCGUCCUAGGGUAAAACUGGUGACUGGGGCUAAGUC
RNAcentral lists this ribosomal RNA (1444 nucleotides) under uncultured organism. Its description in RNAcentral is "SSU rRNA". It matches the Rfam family "Bacterial small subunit ribosomal RNA". The record is from RNAcentral.